This 64-nucleotide transfer RNA is filed under the name Cryphalus piceae. RNAcentral's name for it is "tRNA-Asn". The record is from RNAcentral. Lineage: Eukaryota; Metazoa; Arthropoda; Insecta; Coleoptera; Curculionidae.
UUAAUUGAAACCAAAAAGAGGUUUGUCACUGUUAAUGACAAUACUGGGAUUAACCCCAAUUAAA